UUUUCAGAAUAAAGUUUAUUUAUAUUUAUUUCAUUGUGCCCACAAGCUUUAUUUACUGUUACUAAUUGUAUAUUUUUAUUUUAAAAUAACAAAUCAUUUGAACCUUAUGAAGUUUUUGAAUUUUUUAAAUUUUUUGAAUUUUUUGAACCUUUUGAAUUUUUUGAAGGAAGUUAAAUUGUAUAAUAUCUUUCAGAAACUUUUAGGGAUGUUUAUCAAUGUUUUUUGAAUACUGAGGUUUGUAACUGCAAUUUGAAUUGCAAAGCAAUGAAGCUUGUGUGAUGGCAAUAUUUAACUCUUAUCAGAAAAAAAAUUACAAAAAUUAAUAUAAGAGAAAUUUUUGAUAAUCUCGCAACAUUAUUUUCAGAUGAUAAAUAAAUCUAAAUUUUAUUUGGAAAAGAAGUAGAAUGCAACAUUCAAAUAGUGACUUUAAGAUCAAAUCUAUCUAUCUGUCAAGUAAUUGUAAAGUUAAAGCAAUGCUACAGCCGAGCCCAUAUCUCAAUCUCUCUGAAUAUGUAUCUGUCAAAGAUCAAUCUACAAAUUUGUGACAUUUUCUGUAUUUCUUUUUGUUAAGGAUGUACCUUAUUUGCUAUCUAUUAUUUUUUUCAAAUAAAACUCCUAAUAAUUA
Molecule: long non-coding RNA, 625 nt
Organism: Hydra vulgaris (swiftwater hydra)
Lineage: Eukaryota; Metazoa; Cnidaria; Hydrozoa; Anthoathecata; Hydridae
Source: RefSeq, a predicted model, not a curated record